GAUGAAGAACGUAGCGAAAUGCGAUAAGUAAUGUGAAUUGCAGAAUUCAGUGAAUCAUCGAAUCUUUGAACGCACCUUGCGCCCUUUAGCCAUUCCGAAGGGCAUGCCUGUUUGAGUAUCAUGAACACCUCAACUCUCAUGGCUCGCCAUGAUGAGCUUGGACUUUGGGGGUCUUGCUGGCCUGUGGUCGGCUCCUCUCAAAUGGAUCAGCUUGCCAGUGUUUGGUGGCAUCACAGGUGUGAUAACUAUCUGCGCUUGUGGUUUUCCAUCAGAUAACCUUCAGUGAUGGAGGUUCGCUGGAGCUCAUAAACGUCUCCCCUAAGCGGGGACAGCCCUUUGAAUGUUUGAUCUCAAAUCAGGUAGGACUACCCGCUGAACUUAAGCAUAUCAAUAAGCGGAGGA
RNAcentral lists this unclassified non-coding RNA (402 nucleotides) under soil metagenome. RNAcentral's name for it is "partial contains 5.8S ribosomal RNA, internal transcribed spacer 2, and large subunit ribosomal RNA". The stretch from base 1 to 121 matches the Rfam family "5.8S ribosomal RNA", at positions 35 to 154 of the family's 154-position model. The record is from RNAcentral.